GCGGAUGUAGCUCAGCUGGUAGAGCACCACCUUGCCAAGGUGGGGGUCGCGGGUUCGAAUCCCGUCAUCCGCU
Trueperella bernardiae is the source of this 73-nucleotide transfer RNA. It matches the Rfam family "tRNA". From Rfam's summary of the family: Transfer RNA (tRNA) molecules are approximately 80 nucleotides in length. The record is from Rfam. NCBI's taxonomy places the organism in Bacteria, Bacillati, Actinomycetota, Actinomycetes, Actinomycetales, Actinomycetaceae.